GAUGAACGCUGGCGGCGUGCUUAACACAUGCAAGUCGAGCGAAGCACUUAAGUUUGAUUCUUCGGAUGAGGACUUUUGUGACUGAGCGGCGGACGGGUGAGUAACGCGUGGGUAACCUGCCUCAUACAGGGGGAUAACAGUUAGAAAUGGCUGCUAAUACCGCAUAAGACCACAGUACUGCAUGGUACAGUGGUAAAAACUCCGGUGGUAUGAGAUGGACCCGCGUCUGAUUAGGUAGUUGGUGAGGUAACGGCCCACCAAGCCGACGAUCAGUAGCCGACCUGAGAGGGUGACCGGCCACAUUGGGACUGAGACACGGCCCAGACUCCUACGGGAGGCAGCAGUGGGGAAUAUUGCACAAUGGGCGAAAGCCUGAUGCAGCGACGCCGCGUGAAGGAUGAAGUAUUUCGGUAUGUAAACUUCUAUCAGCAGGGAAGAAGAAUGACGGUACCUGACUAAGAAGCACCGGCUAAAUACGUGCCAGCCGCCGCUGUAA
Molecule: ribosomal RNA, 496 nt
Filed under: uncultured bacterium
Lineage: Bacteria
Description: partial 16S ribosomal RNA
Rfam family: Bacterial small subunit ribosomal RNA
Source: RNAcentral